GAUCUUUAUUUUUAUUUUUUAUAAAUUAAUAAGAUUUAAAAUAAUUUAUAUUUAAAUUAAAAAUUUUACUGGGGUGGUAUUAAAAUUUAAUUAACUUUUAUUUUUAUUUACAUUAAUAUAUGAAUAUUUGAUCCAAUUAUAUUGAUUAAAAAAUUAAGUUACCUUAGGGAUAACAGCGUAAUUUUUUUUUAGAGUUCAUAUCGACAAAAAAGAUUGC
RNAcentral lists this ribosomal RNA (217 nucleotides) under Wyeomyia forattinii. RNAcentral describes it as "partial 16S ribosomal RNA". The record is from RNAcentral. Lineage: Eukaryota; Metazoa; Arthropoda; Insecta; Diptera; Culicidae.